This 314-nucleotide long non-coding RNA is filed under the name Eutrema salsugineum. Its description in RNAcentral is "long non-coding RNA (ESAL_LNC000538)". The record is from RNAcentral. Lineage: Eukaryota; Viridiplantae; Streptophyta; Magnoliopsida; Brassicales; Brassicaceae.
CCCCUCUCUCUCUCUCUCUCUCUCUCUCUCUCUCUCUCUCUCUCUCUCUCUCUCUCUCUCUCUCUCUUUUUCUAUCCCUCACACUCUCUCUCUCCAUUGACAUGUCCCUAAAGCAUCUAUAUGUCCCUGAAAGCUUUAACUCAAUUUCUCUCUGCCUCCCCGCACAACAUCUUAUGUGUCGUUUCCACAGCAAUUAUCCUAUGUGUCAUUAUUAAAACAUAUUAUAUGGCGUUUUAAUUUGUUAUAAUAGGUCAAUCAUUAAUCUUACGUGGAAAUACCUAUGAUGUGUCUUUUUUCCUCAAUUAUGAGCCAUC